RNAcentral lists this ribosomal RNA (467 nucleotides) under uncultured soil bacterium. RNAcentral's name for it is "bacterial SSU rRNA". It matches the Rfam family "Bacterial small subunit ribosomal RNA", at positions 26 to 518 of the family's 1533-position model. The record is from RNAcentral.
AGGACGAACGCUGGCGGCGUGCCUAACACAUGCAAGUCGAACGGAACCAGCAAUGGUUCAGUGGCGGACGGGUGCGUAACACGUGAGGAACAUGUCUUUCGGUGGGGGAUAGCCGGCCCAACGGCCGGGUAAUACCGCAUACGCUGCUCGGAGCUCCUGCUCUGGGUCGGAAAGCAGCAAUGCGCCGAUCGAGUGCCUCGCGGCCUAUCAGCUAGUUGGUGAGGUAAUGGCUCACCAAGGCGACGACGGGUAGCUGGUCUGAGAGGAUGGCCAGCCACAUUGGGACUGAGACACGGCCCAGACUCCUACGGGAGGCAGCAGUGGGGAAUAUUGCGCAAUGGGCGAAAGCCUGACGCAGCGACGCCGCGUGUGGGAUGACGGCCUUCGGUUGAACCACUGUCGGAGGACGAAGAUCGUGACGGUACCUACCGAAAGGAAGCACCGGCUAACUCUGUGCCAGCAGCCGC